AAAGCGCGUGUAGGCGGUCUUUUAAGUCUGAUGUGAAAGCCCCGGGCUCAACCCGGGAAGUGCAUUGGAAACUGGGAGACUUGAAUACGGGAGAGGGUAGUGGAAUUCCUAGUGUAGGAGUGAAAUCCGUAGAUAUUAGGAGGAACACCGGUGGCGAAGGCGGCUACCUGGACCGAUAUUGACGCUGAGACGCGAAAGCGUGGGGAGCAAACAGGAUUAGAUACCCUGGUAGUCCACGCCGUAAACGAUGAGUACUAGGUGUUGCGGGUAUUGACCCCUGCAGUGCCAA
Molecule: ribosomal RNA, 289 nt
Filed under: uncultured bacterium
Lineage: Bacteria
Description: partial 16S ribosomal RNA
Rfam family: Bacterial small subunit ribosomal RNA
Source: RNAcentral